This 474-nucleotide long non-coding RNA is filed under the name Ficedula albicollis (Collared flycatcher). RNAcentral's name for it is "lncRNA (ENSFALG00000020281.2)". Lineage: Eukaryota; Metazoa; Chordata; Aves; Passeriformes; Muscicapidae. The record is from RNAcentral.
GAGAGCAAGCGAGAGAAGGCGCGCAAUAGAGGGAGGCUGUACCCACUAUAGCAUCAGUGUGUGACAGCUGGUGCCUGAUAGCACUGAUACCGAGCUCCUUCAGUGGAGAACUUGCUGAGCUACCCUUUUUUCGAUUGCAAGAGGAUGCCAGCUCUAAGCCAGUGCAACUGAUGACAGACUGGAUCUUGGAAUAGUUCGUUUCACUUACAAUCACAUCUCUCAUGUUCUGCUGCUCCGAAGAAAGGCUUAUUACGGAAGACAAAAAUUCAUUCUCCCCUUACCUCACAUAUUAUUGAUGAUAUACAGAGUUUGAUUUUCCAGUGAAAGCUACUGAAUUAUCAGGUUUUUGGUAUCUUCAGUGGAGGCUUGCAAGACUGUUUGGUGGAAAAUAUAUUUCUAAGGUCUUGGCUAGUCACCAAGCUACAAAACAAAUUCAAGACCAGAAGACAAAAAGGCAGCUGAGGUAGUAAUUCU